Symphalangus syndactylus (siamang) is the source of this 2860-nucleotide long non-coding RNA. RefSeq lists it as uncharacterized. The record is from RefSeq and is a predicted model, not a curated record. NCBI's taxonomy places the organism in Eukaryota, Metazoa, Chordata, Mammalia, Primates, Hylobatidae.
CUUGACCGCAGCACAUCCAUUUUCCUUACAGUAUGUAGUACGCAUUCUACCUUUUUCUACAAUGAAUCCACUAGGCAGAAAUUCCUGUACACAUCUUAUGAACAGAGAAUUUGAACCUCAAAGAGUGGCUUAAAGAGGUCAGGAGGCACCUUCAACACUUUUAUUGGAGAUCUUGUCUAGAUCUUCGGAUUCUCACUCUGUCACCUAGGCUGCAGUGCAGUGGUGCGAUCUCAACUCACUGCAACCUCUACCUCCUGGGUUCAAGCAAUUCUCCUGCCUCAGCCUCUCAAGUAGCUGGAAUUACAGGAAUUACACACUAAUAGUGAAGAACAGGUGGCACCUGAAAUCAAGGAAAAUUUAUUUGUCCUCAAUGCAAAGAUAAACUAUAAAGAGCACUUUAUUGUGUUUGAAGAAUGUAGGAAUGAUAAGUGAAAUGGUGAAGGAAGUGGAUAAACAAUGAUGUAAUGACUGAGCGUCAUCUUUCAACUGAAUAAGCCAGUGAGGAAAUUGGUAAAUUUGUCAAUUAUAUUUAAUUUUACAAUGUUUAAUUCUUUAUUAUUUUGAAGUGAUGUUUUUUAUUAUUAGGAAUGAUCAAUAGUAAUGCAUCCUCCAAAACUGUGGAAAGAUCAUAUUGUGCAAACUAGAGCAAAAAAUCGCAUUCCUCUCGCAUGGGCAUGAAAUCUUUAUCAAAUGACAUCAGGCACUGAAGCAGCUAUCUGAUACCUUCCUCGCUUCCACCAAAUGGAAAGGUUAUUUUAGGAUUCUCUCUUUGUCUCUUAUGCUGCAAACAUAGUCACUCUCCUCAGUCUUCCUACUCACAAUACCACUCCCUUCACAAAUAAAGGACAAAUACUUAUUCAUGGUUCCAUGAAAAGGAAUAACUACUAAGACCUUGACAUUCUUGAAAAAGCAUAUAUUUGUUGUUCUAAGUAAUGUUUAUGAUCAACGUUCUUGUGCAACCAGAUAUGGUUUCUAACAGGAAGCUUAUAAAUUUUUCUUAUAAUUGCUGUCAAAACCGCAGUGAAGUGUACUACAAGUUUUGAUAAUAAAGAAUAAAGUCACAGUUCAAACUCGAUUAUAUUUUGGAAAUUCAUGUGCCUGUUACUAGAAGCAGUGGCCUUAAAUAUCUUCCCAUCCUGCCAAAUUUUUCACUUGCACUUUUUAUUAUUUAUGAAAUCAGUCUCUGCACAAUGUCAUGCAGACCUGUGCUGAUAAACUCUAAUUAAGAUUAAGACAAGCCUUUUGGAAAGGAUCCCAUCAUUAGCAAACAUGAUAAACACAAAAAUACUCCCUACUUGUCAACCAGGAGCAAUUCAGUAACCUAACAGUAUUAUCUGUUGCUAGGUUACAGAGCUGACAAAGCUUCAAUUAUAUUGUUCGACCAUACCUAUAGAGUUCUGUAUAAGCAAAACGUAUCCAGAAUAAAAGCUUCUAGCUUCAUCCAUGCUAUCUGCAAUUCAUGGCUUCUUACAAUGGUAAAAAUCAGGUUAAUAAUUACAUAGCAUGCUGAAAAAUCUUUUCCAUGUGUUAUGUCUAUACAUGUUUCUUUCUAAUUUAUCUGUGUGAUUGAUAGACGCUUGCUUCAUAAAAAGAAGGAAACGCAAGGAAUGUGAAGCUGUAAACCUCUAGCACAACUACGGGGGCUCAUCAAGAUAUGGACCUAAGCGUAGCUUAGGUAUAUAAAAUAUGUAGCAAAUUGAACCAAUUAAAUCACAUUUAGAUUUUGUAUUACUCUGCCUCAAUAUAUAGUAGGAUAAGGAGCCUCAGGCAAUAGAUGGGAAUAUCAGUGUGAAACUUUAUUUUAAGCUAAAAACAAACAAGCAAACAAACCACAUACAUCCUCACUAACAAUACAAAAGGAAAGAGAUGAUUUAAAAUAACAAGUUAUUCUAAUGGCUUUUCUAAAGACAUUUAAAAGUUAGUUAAUGACUUUUACUGCAUAGCAUCGUCCCUAAGUCUCAUUUCUCUUUUUUAGACUAGAAAUUCUAGGGGGAAAAUCAAUAAACCAUCCUCCAAAAUACAGAUAUUUAAUAGGGAAAAAACAAAGAAAAAACACAUUAUGUGAAAAAAAAAAAAAAAAAAAAAAAAAAAAAAAAAAGGAUGACAGUUUCUGUGAAUCAGGCUCUCAAGAUUAUUUUACCAUAGGUAAUUUUUGUGGUUUUCAUAAAAAUUUGGAGAAAAAGUAAUUAUGCAUAACGGAACCAGCAUUUUAAAAUAGCUCUUGCAUAAAAUAUUCUAUACCAUAUACUAAAUUGCUACAGCAUUUUGCUUCCUUAAGAUGUAGACUGAUAUUUCUGCAUUGAUGUAAAAAGUCUAUCUCCUCCACAUACCGUGGAAAAAGAUGGUCAACUGAUGACAAGCACUUAGUUAAUGAAGAUUACACAUUGGCUUGUGAAGUAAAUCAUGGUCUCUUGUAGGCACAUUCAAGUAAAAUUAAAGUCAUUCUCUGGGGGAAUAGGCCAUUUAACACACAAACACACACACACACGCAUGCACACACACACAUGCAGACAUACACAGAGUGGUAUCAUGUUUCUGGAGGUGGAGAAAAGUGGAAUACUUGUUUGGUCAUUAACUUCUUUCAUUUUUACUAAAUAAUUAGAAAAAUCUCACAUGAUACCUCCCUCUGAAAUCUGUUUUUUUCAUAACUGAGAAGUGAUUGGUCAGAGAAAUUCUUUAAAAGCUAAAUAACUGUCCCAUUCCAACACUGCAUGUGGUAAUGCCUAGAUCUCAGGGUCUAGGCACUAACACAGGACAUAUAUCUAUAUGUAACCACAUUGCUUAAUACAAAUUUUAUAAUGAAUUCAAAUCCAAUACUGUUGAAAUUCUUGACAGUGGAGUAGUGGAAGGAAUAGAACUU